GCCUCUGUGGUGAAGUGGUUAGCAUGCGUCCCCCGGUAUGGAUGAAACGCGGGUUCAACACCCGUCUGUGGUC
Parelaphostrongylus tenuis is the source of this 73-nucleotide non-coding RNA. The record is from the annotation of a GenBank genome assembly. Lineage: Eukaryota; Metazoa; Nematoda; Chromadorea; Rhabditida; Metastrongylidae.